CGAUAAGAAUACGCUUCGCCCAAGACAGCAGGGGCGCAACAGGCGCUUAAUUUCCUGCCGAGGUGGAGAUGUCUCCAAGAGUUGUGAACCCACAUAGGGUGGGUAAAUAAUUGGUCGCGGAGAGUCUUUGCCAGAAACUGGUUGCGAGGCAAAGACUUUUUAUUUGGAAAG
Chloroflexi bacterium RBG_19FT_COMBO_47_9 is the source of this 171-nucleotide non-coding RNA. NCBI's taxonomy places the organism in Bacteria, Bacillati, Chloroflexota. The record is from Rfam.